UCACUGAAUGCACAUUCUUCUUACACUCUGUUUAAAAUGAUGAAAUGCGCUACAGCAGAUGUGCAACCCACACUCCAGGAAACGGUUUGAAUCCCAUCUAUCCACUGUGGUUUGACUUACAGGAGUUGGUGUGCUCCUCUGUCAGAUGGAUUCCACAAGCGGGAAUUUUCGCUGUGUUUGAAUAUUCAUACGAUUACAGGCAAUCUUAAUUUUGACAGCUGUCAAUUCAGACUACAUGAUGCCCACAGAGUAUUUAUUAUUAUCAUUAUUAUAAUUUGUCCUUUUAACUAAUUAAAAACACAUUUGUAAAAGUUCAAAAAUGCAAAUUGGCUUUUUGUUGUUUUGACAAUCUUUACAUUUUUUGGUAGCAUAUUAUUUUUUUCAUAAACAACAGGGUUGUUGUCGAGGCCCUGUUUGCAAUGGUCAUUUACCUUACAUGUUGACCCAUAAGCGUGCAGGGGAUUUACCAUAAAAAAAUGUUCUUGUUCCCUUUUAAUCUUGGCGAUGAUCUUGUUUUUUAGGAUUUUUGUGUAAGUUUGUGUAUUGCGUCAUAAAGGAUUGUUUAAUUGCAUGUAAAGAUUAAGUUAUUAUUCAUAAAAAGAGUACAUUGUAUUCAAAGUACAUCAUAAUCAGUUUAGUAUUUAGUGUCUGCUGCCUCUUAGCCAUUGUUUGCACUUUCAUAUUUUCCUAUCUGAUUCAUAUCGCCCUGUGGUUAACUGAGAUUGAUACUCUUGUCUUUUUUUUUUUUUUUAACAUUGUAAGUACACAGAUCACAUACUGAUUUUUAGAAAUCUUUUCAUUUAUAAUCAUGUGCAGUCUUUGUAUUUACAUGAUGCUUUGUAGAUAUGCAAAGCCAAGUAGGAUUCUGCCCCAGGCACUGGCCAUCCGACCUGUCACACAGCAUCGCAGGGCAGGAACAAGGAAACGGUCUCUGAAUUCGGGAAUGUGUAUGUAGCAGAGCCCUGUCCUAGCUUUGCCGACAGGCGCCGAGCACAAUAUCAGGUGCCGGGAGGGUCCCAAGGUGGGCGCACAUUUAUCAGGAGCAAGGCCCUGUGAACGUCAUCAAGGAGAUUCAUGAUCUCAACUGUUUUUUUCGGGGGGACAGGCAGGCAAAGGGGUUGUGGCAUCGUCAGUCCGGAUGAGAGGCAAAUUUAUUUGGGUAAAACCUAAGGCGUACGGCAACAACAUUUCCAGUGGAAUGGGGAAGGUGUCGCACUUAUCAAGUACCUGGGCCCGCCUGCCACGGGUCUGCUUGUUUUGCCUAGGGACUUGUCUGUCACAUUAAAGUAGAUGCAUUGCCAUUCAAGACCCUUCCCAGUCCUAGUGCCUGACCAUGAAAUAGGCCAACUUUCAAGUCUGCCUUAUUACUCUGCAUCAUAUGACUUCAGAGAUAGCAUAGUGUUGUCAUUCUUUUUUUCUUUUUUUUUCUGUCCUUCCUUUCUCUGUUUCUCAGUAUUUGGUGACUGAGACGCAAAUGCCACACAACGCUCAGUCCCUUAAAGCACAGACAAAUUUCAAGAAAACUUGCUUUAGGAAACAACUCACAAGCCAUGUGCUCGCUAGUCUUGUCGUGCACCGCGAUCAGGUGUGGGAAUCAUAUCUGAACUGAACAAGAAAACAUGUGAGUGAGGAAAGGGAAAAUGAGUUUAAAACCUCAAGGGACUACCUUGGAAAAGAGAGGAAACUGGUUUUGCUUGAGUAGCAUCUCCAUCCAGGAGAUUCCUUUGGUAUCGAAACUGAGCAUCUGGUCAUUAAGGUCAGACACACCUAUAUGUUCUGGCUUCAGUCACACUAAGCUGUCUCACCUAUAAUUCCCUCUGAAUUGAAACCCACCCAAGCUGCCAUGGGGGCAACAGUUCCUGCAUCUGGAGAGCUUUGGAGUCCAUCACCUGACCUUCAGCCAGAGCAUAUGCUACAGCAGAGUCCAUUCACUGCCACUUCUCUAGAGGCAGAGGGACAGUGUGCCUGGUCCAGCAUUCAAAUGUAUCACUGGUCCAGGCAAACCAUACUCUCCAGCUCAUGGGGACUGGGGGUAAACCCUUGCCCCCUCAGCAGCAUCAUGGACUGCUGCCGUUCCUACCAUUCAAGUGCCCAGGCCAGGCAGAGGAUGACAUGCAUUGGCUGCAAGGAACGGAUGUCAACCGAGUGAUGGCUGGAAAAUCAGUUUCAGCAUCUGGGCUGUCCCUCUGAGUGGGUGUGUGGUCCAUAACGCCGAUGUUGGCAAUGUUUGUGUGUGUGUUGAAUCAAGCUGUAGCCGAGCAGCCUGUCUGGUCAUGCAACAAAGACAAUGUCAUUCAGCCUUGGGGCUGAAGCGUUACCAAAGUGGUCAGAUGGACAACCGGCUUCCCUGUGGUUGCACCAGUGCUCCUGAAAAAGCUCACCACAUCUGACUGACAGUCACAGGGCCAGAUUCCUUUGGACAGGGCUGUAAAUAGCUGCACAAAACAGUAGGGCAUCUCCCCAAGACCUGUUCCAGUGUUCCAGCCAGACCGUCUGGCCAUAUCAUGCCAUAUGUGGCACUGUUCAGGAUGGAUCAGGUGGUCAACUCAUUCAAUGAGAAACCUUUACUUUGCCUAUUGCGAAAGGGUAAGGAAUGGUCUCCGGAUCAGCCAGCGUGAUCUCAGCAAUGUGGUGUGAACCCCUUAAAUUCCCAUUAUAGAUAGAUUGCCAGUUGUCCGGAUGGCCCAAUCCAAUUGAAACCACUAAAAAACAUCAAAAUGUAGUGUGAUGUGCUAAAUGGUUUAUGCCAACAGGUAACUACCAAAAGAACUGGUAGUAAAUGUUUACUCUGAUUGUAAUCAUUCCACAACAAAUUAAAAUGUAUUUUUUUGGUUAAAGUUCCUAUUCAAUUUAAUGUAAAUUAAUACAAUUUAUUCAGGUCUUGGAGUCUUUAUAAUAAGCUGAUGACCUGGAUUUGAUUAGGGAGACAUUUAAAAUGUGCAGUGUUGAAGAGACUCCAAAAACAUGGUUUAGAACCAGACUAGUACAUGAUUUAGAUCACUGCUUCCCAGACAUGUUCUUGGAGUAACCCCAACAGUACACAUUUUGGAUGUGUUCCUUAUCUGACACACAUUUCAGUUAUUGGAGCCUUUGCUAAUGAGCUGGUGAGUUGAAUCAGGUGUGUUAGAUUAGGGAAAGUUCCAAAAUUUCCAGCGUUGGGAAUCAUGGUUCCCUGUCGUGAAUUAGUAUAUUGUGAAAAUAUUCAGCCAAUAGCGAGAGUCUUGGUCCACUAAACAUUAGAAUGUGCUGACUCAAUCGCCUGGUAACGAUUAAACGUACAUGAAAAUAUCGCUCAUUUUAUUCAUCAACAAAAUCACUGUAUAAUGCAUCAGAACUGAUAUCCUACUGGUAUCAUUUUUGUUUAGCGCAUGUACAGUGAUGUCAUGAAAUUUACUUAGCCUUCAUUUCUGUCUGCUUUAGAGACUGAAGAAAACAUCAACAUUACCGGAAAGGGUAUUAUGUACUAGAAAUUCUAGAAAGCAAUAAUUUCAUUAUACUGGAGCGAUUUUGACAAUUGGACCGGUUUUGAAAUGCCUGACUCACUGGCAAUUGCAUUGACUACUAAACUAGCUAGCUAACUGAGAUGUUAAAAUUAAUAAUUUGACUGUCCUGAAGGAAGUGCUUUUAAGGUAGCAAAAUUAUGUUUUUGUUUUUGAGAAUAGAUGGGUUGUUUUAACACUUAUGGUCUGGGAUUUGGAAGCAAACCAAACCAGAAUGUUUGAGGAAUUUAAAUACCUUCCUGCCUGCAAGCACUGUAAUGGAGGUGGAUAACUUCAUUGGGUUGAGUAAAUUCAGAAUAGUGGUGCAGGAAGGAAAAAAAGGUAAAAAACUGUUGGUUAGGCAGCAGUUGGGAUGGGCUAUGUGCUGUGGAGCCAUCCUCCAUCUGUCAACACAGGGAGUUGUGAUUCUUGCAUCAGCAGAGCAGGGCUCAGCAUCAAGAGAAAAGGGGUGAGGAGGGAGGGAAAGUGAGAGAGAGAGAUUUUAACAACAGCUAAAUUCUCAUCAGGCAUGUAGACUGAACGUCCCCUCUUCGAAGCACAAAACACCAGUGAGCAGCAUCUGCUCUGUGGCUUUGUUGCCUCUUAAAAAGUGCACAGCGCCAGCCCUGGAGAAAUCGUUGUCCAUCUUCAGUUUGUAAACAUUUGUUUUGUGGUUCAGCCGUCACAUAUGGUUCAUAAAUGGACAUGGUUACUGUGUAAUUGUCUGUAUCCCACCACCAUAGUUUUUUUUAAACAUUAUGAAUGAGACAUGUUCAUGAUUAUUCUAGAUUAUAUUGGCUGGGGUAUUUUUUACAUUUGAUUGUUGUUGCAACAUAAUGGAUUUGGCCAAAGUGGUCAACAGCAACUGAGCCUGGGAAAUGUAGUAGUGCCACUUUUUCUCUUACACCGAUAGCUCAUUUAAAGAAAUCAAAAUGCUUUCCAUUCUUCAGUCAGCCAUGUUUCUGAAUCAGUGGACAGAGUUGCGAUGU
Molecule: long non-coding RNA, 4468 nt
Organism: Carassius auratus (goldfish)
Lineage: Eukaryota; Metazoa; Chordata; Actinopteri; Cypriniformes; Cyprinidae
Exons: 2
Source: RefSeq, a predicted model, not a curated record